GAUGAACGCUGGCGGCGUGCCUAAUACAUGCAAGUCGAGCGAACGGACGAGAAGCUUGCUUCUCUGAUGUUAGCGGCGGACGGGUGAGUAACACGUGGAUAACCUACCUAUAAGACUGGGAUAACUUCGGGAAACCGGAGCUAAUACCGGAUGAUAUUUUGAACCGCAUGGUUCAAAAGUGAAAGACGGUCUUGCUGUCACUUAUAGAUGGAUCCGCGCUGCAUUAGCUAGUUGGUAAGGUAACGGCUUACGAAGGCGACGAUGCAUAGCCGACCUGAGAGGCGGGUCGGCCACACUGGAGCUGGGCCGCGGUCCAGACUCCUACGGGAGGGAGCAGUAGGGAACCUUCCGCAAUAGGCGGAAGCCUGACGGAGCAGCCGCGCGUGAGUGGUGAAGGUGUUCGGAUCGUAAAACUCUGUUAUUAGGGGAGAACAUAUGUGUAAGUAACUGUGCACAUCUUGACGGUACCUAAUCAGGAAGCCACGGCUAACUACGUG
Molecule: ribosomal RNA, 497 nt
Filed under: uncultured bacterium
Lineage: Bacteria
Description: partial 16S ribosomal RNA
Rfam family: Bacterial small subunit ribosomal RNA
Source: RNAcentral